Molecule: long non-coding RNA, 3254 nt
Organism: Lycium barbarum (goji berry)
Lineage: Eukaryota; Viridiplantae; Streptophyta; Magnoliopsida; Solanales; Solanaceae
Exons: 2
Source: RefSeq, a predicted model, not a curated record
UUUGAUUGAUGAUGUUAAUCUGUACAUGGUCCUAUAUUUAUACAAGUAUGAAGGCAUUUCCUCUACAACAGAAAUGACACUUGGCUAUUUUCUAUUUACUAACUCUCUAACAAACUAGGAAUAAUUACAAGGAAUAUAAUGAUGACAUUGUAUAUGUACAGCUGUGGUAUAUUCUAACUUUGGGCCUCUAUUCUUCCAUUUCCAUCUGAUCUGCUUUGGUCAAUUCGUGUAGCCCAAAUCAGGCCCAAAUGUGAAGAUAUGUGCAGAAGUCCAUAUGGGAAUAAUACUCCUUUAUCAUUUUGUCUUCAUUUCCCUUUGCAAACAUAACCAUGGCAAGACCCUAACCACAAUCAAACACCGUCUUCUUCAUUCUUGUAGCCAUAGUCAAAAUCAAUUUCAAAAUUUCUUCAAUGAACCGCUAAAUACCGCAACACCUUCACCAUUAUCAAUUCACCGUAUUCACUUCUUUCACCAUUAAACAAUAUUUUCAUGACAGAUUUGGUGUUGAGUUGAAGGUAAAUGAGAAUUAGAUUGUGCGUGUUGAAUUGAGAUUUCAGAUAAAGAUUAUGAUACUUUCAUGGAAGAACUCUACAACAACAAGCAUCUAUGAAUGGAUUGAUUUGUUUUAGGGGGAGGAGAAAGGAUUGUACAAAUAUAUAUUUAACAAAAUGGUUGAGGUAUUCUUUUAUAUAUUUUAUUCAACAUUUUUUUAUUCACUUUUUGAAACUAUGAUAUAUAACACUUCCUUUGUAGAUCUUUUAGCUAGGAUUCACAGAUUAAUACACCUUUAUUUACUUAUAACAAAAAAAAAAAAAAUCAAUUCACCUACCUAUAUAUGACAAGUCCCAGUGACCAGGAAUUGACUCUAUUUUUUACAAUUUUUUCAUUUGAAUUAAGUUACAAGUCCAAAAGUUAUAUCCUUUCAAAACAAACGAAAAAUAAGGCCAAAAGUCCUUACUAUUAAAUUUACAACCGUUUCUUUCCUAAGAUAACCAGUUGUCAUAUUCUAAUAUUUGUGAAUGCUCUCAAUGGGUAAAUACCUAUCUUGAAUUGCUUCAACAAGUAUGUUUUCUUCUCAAGUAUGUUCAUUUUUAAAAUUAUGAAGGAUGGUUAGUGAAUUGGUUACCUGCUAAUAGCUCAUAAAAGGCCUACACACAUAUAGGAGUUUUCGAUGACUAUAUUUUGAAGUCUUUGAAAUGUUUGGUCAAAUUAAUAUAUAAAGGAGUGUUUAAAGAUAAAAUAGGAUGAUAAAUAAUGAAAAAAAAUUGAAAUGAAUAAUGUAAGGCGUCGAGACGAGAAUAAUGUGAAUUAGUAUAACGAUUGACUAAGAGAAAAUAAUUAGUAUAAUGCGACUCCUAGGUAAGUAAUCUCUUUAAUUAUUCAUAUUUGUUAUCUUAGAAAUUUAAAUUCUGCUUUAAUACUUCUUUCUCCUUUCCUUUUUACCUUUUCUCUGAUUUUUAUUUUAUUCUUCAUGAGUAAAAGCGUUUUUUAUACAUGCUAGAGAAUGUUUUUUAUUUUUUCCUAAUAUUUCAUCUAUGUAAGUUACACUUGUGAGGAGAAUUAUAGAGUUUUGUUUUCUCUUCUUCAUUUCAUUAUAUAUUACAUAUUUGUUUUGGAUAUUAAAAGUGAGAAUCUGUAAUCCUUUGUGCUAAUAUUUGAUGGUCCAAUAAUAUAGGUAACAAAUAUUCUUUCUCGCGAGAUGAAUGUAAAAUAACAACGAAAAAUGGCUAUUUUGGGGACAACCAUAAUGAAAAAUCAUGAGAAGAAAGAAGACAAAUCACAAGAUAAAUGCAAGUCUACAACUAAUGACAAAAGACUACACAUAUCUUUUCCCAAUGUUUCUAAUUACAAAUUUAAUCAUGUUCUACGUUAUUUAUUGGGAUUCAUCAUUAUAGACAUAGUAAUGGUUCCAUGCUAAGUGGAAAUAGAAUACGAAGAAUAAAUAUAAAUACAAUAUAAUUGAUACAUUAUUGUCUAACGAGAUGAGGAGUAAAAGGGAGUUACUAUGAUGUGAAAUAGUUAAGGAGCAAAUUCUCAAAAUAUAACAGUAGUUUUCUCAUAAAUGAAGCGGUUAUCUCGAAAAUAAAUUUGUUUAAAAAUUUACUCGAUGGUGAAAAAGGCAAACAUGCAUUUUAGAUUAUGGAAAAACAUUGUUGUAAUUUGUUUUAAAUGUAACACUAUCGAUUGUUAAGCUUUGUGGCACUCUUUCUCUCCCAUUUUAUGUUUAAAAUUCAACAUUUCUCACUUUUCUAUUUAAAAUUCGACAUUUCUCACUUUUCUUUUCUUUUUUUUUUUGUUAAAAAAUUUGUUUAAAUUAAGAGAAAUAUGAAACAGAAAUAUAAUAGGUAAAGAUUUAAGUAUAUUGAAAUUAUUUAUGAUUGCGCAUAGCGCGGGUAAGUACACUAGUAUUUAAUUAAUCAUGAGAACUAAAAGCGUUGAUAAAGUAAUCCCCAUUUUAUAUUGGGAUUAUUAUCCCUUAUUGCGCUAACCAAAUAACCUUCGCAUUUUGAAGAUAUACUUUUCAUAUUUGGAUUAGUUUCAGAAGUUAGUAAACUAUAAAAGAAAACUUAAUAAAUAUAUGGUUUUUAUGACAUUAAAGUAAUUAAACCAUGUGUAAACUGCUCACAAACACACAUAACUAAUAUGUUAAAGUUCCAACUCAAAUUUCUUUGUUGCGCAUAUUAAGAAACGAAAAUCAUGCGUUUCCUUGACAAGUGAUGUGCACUUCAUCUAUUUCUUGACAAAUGGCUCGUUUUGUAGUGCAUUAUUUGACCACUUCAUUUAAAAAUAUUAAAAUAAUUAGAAAAAAAAUACUUUGUUAAAAGUAUAACUAAGUAAAUAACAUUAUACUUUUUUUUUACCACUUAAAGUUUUCUAUUCAAAAUUCAACGUCAGCUCCCAGGUAUGCAGAGGAGAACUCAUUUAGGAUGCAAAGAGAAUAAUAAGAAAUGGACCCUGAAUCUAAUUUAAUUUUAAAAGUUAGUAAAAUUACUUAAUACCAUAUAAAGAGACCUCUUCAUCCUUACAUAGCCAACAUCUUAACCAGCCAACGUGGAAACUCAACAAUUUCACACGGCUGCCAAUUAAAGCAUGAAUUACUCAUAUAUAAUAUGGCGAUCAAACAUUAGAUAAACCAAAAAAAAAAAAAAAAAAUUGGACUGAGGUUGUCUCUGGUAUCAUGAUCAUAGUACAAAUACCAGAGAUUACUCACUACCAUAUAAAAAAUUGAAAUAUGAUCUAGCUCAACCUUAAAA